RNAcentral lists this ribosomal RNA (481 nucleotides) under uncultured Bacillota bacterium. RNAcentral's name for it is "bacterial SSU rRNA". It matches the Rfam family "Bacterial small subunit ribosomal RNA", at positions 1 to 507 of the family's 1533-position model. The record is from RNAcentral. Lineage: Bacteria; Bacillati; Bacillota.
UAGUAGUUUGACUCCGUGGCUACGAGACGACGCUGGCGGCAUGCCUAACACAUGCAAGUCGAACGGGGAUAGCAAUAUCCUAGUGGCGAACGGGUGAGUAACGCGUGAGUAACCUGCCUCAUACAACGGGAUACCUGAGGGAAACUUCAGUUAAUACGGUAUAAGACCACACUGCCGCAUGGCAGAGGGGUAAAAGGAGCAAUCCGGUAUGAGAUGGACUCGCGUCGCAUUAGCUAGUUGGUGAGGUAACGGCCCACCAAGGCGACGAUGCGUAGCCGACCUGAGAGGGUGAUCGGCCACAUUGGGACUGAGAUACGGCCCAGACUCCUACGGGAGGCAGCAGUGGGGAAUAUUGGGCAAUGGAGGAAACUCUGACCCAGCAAUGCCGCGUGAAUGAAGAAGGUCUUCGGAUUGUAAAGUUCUUUAGUCAGGGAAGAAAGAAAUGACGGUACCUGAAGAAUAAGCUCCGGCUAACUACGCG